Molecule: long non-coding RNA, 2515 nt
Organism: Onychostoma macrolepis
Lineage: Eukaryota; Metazoa; Chordata; Actinopteri; Cypriniformes; Cyprinidae
Exons: 6
Source: RefSeq, a predicted model, not a curated record
AAGUAUCUGUCAAUUUAUGUAAAAUGUUUAACCGAAUAGAUUUGAAUCUCAUAUUGAUCCACAACAUUAAUAUUCAGAAUGUUUGUGUAGCCACUCCUAAUAUAUAAUUUUAACAACCACCGCCUUAAUUCAGUUUCGCGCGCAAAAAUCAUGUGACCAUUGUAAGCCAAAUAUUGCAAGUUUCAUAUUUAAAAUGUUAUAAAAUGAAAUACUGUAUGGGCAAAUUAGAUAAAAUUGAUUGUACUAUUGAUUAGAUAAAAAAAAAAGAAGUAAGAAAUUAGAUUUUUUUUUCUUAAUGACGCCAGAAGAGUCUUUCUGUAGCACCGCCAUUUUCUCACUUUAACGUUGUGAUGUUCUUGCUGGAGUUUCUCCUCAAAUACCUGCGUCGGUUAUCUUUCAAAUUUGUUUUGGCAGACAGUACAAACCAGCUCUUCAUCGUGUUAAUUGAGCCGUGGACCUUCAUCUUAGUCAGUUUAAGAAUUACACCUGAUCUUCCUGUUUCUGUCCUGACUAAGAGGAUCCAGUACACUUGAUCGAAUUACACCUGAUCUUCCUGUUUCUGUCCUGACUAAGAGGAUCCAGUAGACUCGAUAGAAUUACACCUGAUCUUCCUGUUUCUGUCCUGACUAAGAGGAUCCAGUAGACUCGAUAGAAUUACACCUGAUCUUCCUGUUUCUGUCCUGACUAAGAGGAUCCAGUAGACUCGAUAGGAAACCGACAUUGAAGACCAUGUGACGGCAGGAAUGGAUGUGGGCAUUCUCAUAAUUCCUGAUGGAGAUGAUGCCCUUGACUACUACGUGGUGCUGGAGGAACAGAUUGCCCUGAGAGAUGCCAUAGACCUCCCUCAUGCUGCCGCUCUACUAGUCGGGCUGAUUUUUGCGCUUAAUAUUGAUUAUCCCAAAAAACUACGCUACACAUUUGAGGUCAUUCAAAAGAUUUUCAUUGACCUUGGAGGUGAUCAGUGUUCUGGUGCAUGGACUGAAAAAUAGACUACUUCGCAAAACUGUGUAGUGUCCUAACUGAAAGGUAUAUGAUGUGUGCCUUUUUGUUCAUGAUUUAGCCUGGUGAAUUUCUGGUUGUUUUAAAACGAUGAAUGUUCAAUUCUUGACGUGGUACUUUAUGCAGUGCUAAUAUAUGUAACUCAAUAUAAAAAUAUCUUGUUUGAUUUUUAGACACUUGUUUUCUGUUUAUACAGUGUUAUUGUUAAUGUACAUUAAGUCAAGUCACCUUUAUUUAUAUAGCGCUUUUAACAAUACAGAUUGUGUCAAAGCACUUAACAGUAUCAAAUUGGAGGAUAGAGUGUCAGUAAUGUAUAAGAUUAAACACUCAAUUUUCAGUUAAAGUCAUUUCAUUAUUGAGUUCAGAGAUGUCAUUGUGUAGCUCAGUUUAGUUUAAAUAGUAUCUGUGCAAUGAAAUCGGCAAUAAUCGCUAGAAAUUAAGUGUCCCCAACUGAGCAAGCCAGAGGCGUUACUUUAUGUUUGUACAGUAUUGUUCAUGCAGUGCAUUUGUUUUAUGCAGUACAGCACUGUAUGCUUUAUUCAGUAUUGUUCAUGCAGAACAUUACUCUGUAUUUUAUGCUGUUUUGUUUAUGCAGUACAUUACUGUAUGUUUAAAGUAUCAGUUAAUGAACUGGUUUUAGUGGAAAAAUAAAAUCCAGAUGAUUUAUGCUCAGUUAAGACAAGUUGUCAUUUUAGUUAAGACAACUUAACAAUUUAAGUUCACAAAACUUAAAUGUUUAUUGUACUUGUUUUAUAAAGUCCUAUCAACUUCAUUCUUAGUUGAGACAACUUCACAAUUUAAGUUCACAAAACUUAAAUGAUGUUUAUUGCACUUGUUUUUGUAAGUCCUGUCAACUUUAUUGUCAGUUAAGACAACUUCACAAUUUAAGUUCACAUAACUUGACAUUUUAAGGCAGCACGAACACUUACUUUUUUAAGUUGAAACAACAAAAUUUUUUACAGUGUAUAGUGUUUUUGAAAUAUUCAUGAAGUAAGUCGUAGUCAGACACAUUUGAUGAUUCUUUAUAUUUAUAUUUUUUAUCAUGUUUGUCACCUUUUUAUUUUGCUGGCAGAUUUACUAACCACUUGCACCAGCACAAAACUCUUUUGGCAAUAAAAACAGGAUUUGCUAAAGAUACGCAAUGAAAAGGCGUGGACAGUUAUUUUUGCGAUUUUUGUGUACUAUUUCAAUACUGUUUGAGACUAAAUUGGCCCACUUUCUAUUAUAUAAGUUUACUUUAAGUAUAACAGUAAACUUUGAGUACACAACUAGUUUACAUCAAUGUUUUUAGCUUGUACUGCAACUAUACUAAAAGUGAACAUGUAUACUGAUAGUUUACAUUUACAUUUUACAUUUAAUCGUUUAGCAGACGCUUUUAUCCAAAACGACUUACAAUAUGAGAACAGUAGAAGCAAUGAGACCAUCGAGAGUGCAGCAGUAUACAAGUGCCAUGAAAAGUUUCAGUUAGCCCAGCACAGUACACGUAGCUAGGGUUUUUUUUUUUUUUUUUAAAUAG